This 283-nucleotide unclassified non-coding RNA is filed under the name Hevea brasiliensis (rubber tree). Lineage: Eukaryota; Viridiplantae; Streptophyta; Magnoliopsida; Malpighiales; Euphorbiaceae. The record is from RNAcentral.
AGAGAAAGACCAAGAAACAUAGGUUAAACGUUGUUAUAUGGACAAUUGGGCGUAAUUGAAUAUAAGAGGGUAUUUUUCUUUUUUUUCAAGUUUAGCUCGUGCUUUUGGUUCUAGAGGGUUAUACAAGGAAUAGAGACUGAGUCAAGGAGACUUAGUUAUUUAAGAGUUUGGUAGGCACUAAUUCAUACACAAUUUUCUAAUAUGAGAAUGACAGUAAGUACAUACCUAGUGUUAAGUAUGAAAGAACGAUCAGAGUAACGACAGGAGUUAAAUUGAGUUAGCU